RNAcentral lists this ribosomal RNA (523 nucleotides) under uncultured bacterium. Its description in RNAcentral is "bacterial SSU rRNA". It matches the Rfam family "Bacterial small subunit ribosomal RNA", at positions 28 to 531 of the family's 1533-position model. The record is from RNAcentral.
GGCUAACGCUGGCGGCGUGUCUUAGCCAUGCAAGUCGAGCGGACUUAUGGGGUAACUUAUAAGUCAGCGGCGGACGGCGGAGUAACACGUAGCUAACCUACCCUCUGGACGGGGAUAACCUACCGAAAGGUGGGCUAAUACCCGAUGUAGUCAUCCUGUAUAGGGGUGAUGAAAGGUGGGCUUCUGUUUACAAGCUCAUGCUGGAGGAGGGGGCUGCGGCCUAUCAGGUAGUUGGUAGGGUAAUAGCCUACCAAGCCGAUGACGGGUAGCCGGCCUGAGAGGGUGACCGGCCCGAGGGGCACUGAGAUACGGGUCCCACUCCUACGGGAGGCAGCAGGCUAGAAAUUUGGGCAAUGGGGGAAACCCUGACCCAGUGACGCCGCGUGCAGGAAGGAGCCCUUCGGGGUGUAAACUGCUGUCGUGUAGGGAGAAGGGUACUAAGGUGAACAAUCUUAGUACUUGACGGUACUACAGGAGGAAGCCCAGGCUAACCUCGUGCCAGCAGCCGCGAAAGCUACGUAGA